RNAcentral lists this long non-coding RNA (976 nucleotides) under Triticum aestivum (bread wheat). RNAcentral's name for it is "long non-coding RNA (TAES_LNC012477)". The record is from RNAcentral. Lineage: Eukaryota; Viridiplantae; Streptophyta; Magnoliopsida; Poales; Poaceae.
GACAAAGUUGAUCUUUAUUUGACAUUCAAUCAAACAAUCCCAAUCAAAUUAAAUUUAGAGCAAGGUAGAAAAAUGCAAGUCACAAUACAUCCUUGUGCAGCAUAGAGAGAUGGGAACACACAGAGGAGAUGCAGGCGAUGCCACUUGUGGAGGCUUGUAGGCAACAACCACCUCGGUGGGGAAGGAGGCUGGUCUUGUGGGUUGAUGAGUACAUUAAUGCACCCCAUGGUGAGAUCCUUGGCGUUGAACAAGGAAUUAGAGCGGUUGUUUAGAGCGGAGAAUGGCGGGGAAUCGAGGCUGCAGUUCAGCCAUUUGCUGGAUGUUCAGUGCAUCAAUUGGCUGUGACUGAUGGAGGUUGUACUGCAAACCAAAGUUCAUUGUUAACGGCUGCACUUGAGUAAAUCUGAAGAAGUAAAUCACAAGAGAGGAAACCGGUGCAUACCUGGUGUUGUCAGACGGCAACUAAGAUGAAGACUCGCGGUGACAGCAGCCUGAUGAGCGACCAAAACGACUGUGAUGGCAACGAAAACGGCAGCAACACACACAACUUCAGAGUCCUCAACAGCUCAGCCUCAAUACCAGUGUUCUCCCAAGCUAGCAAACUGUAGAGAUCUGGGGAGCGAACCCGAAAAAUAAUUUACAGCCUACAAACUAUAAUCAGCAAAUGAAUGUGCGGGGUUCAGAGGAUGUGAGAGAUCCACAAGAGCAGACUAAGAAAGAUUAAAAUAAAAUUACGUGGAACAUUGAGGGGUUGCAACCAAGGUGGAUGCCUUCUAGUACUUCAUAAUAAUUGGACAGAGCGAACAAGAAACUGAAGAACCAUACAAUGGUGGCGUGAGCAAGCCAUUAAUUGUGCUUGUGCGGAGACAUGGAUGCAAUGUUGGAGUUCUGGUUCGAUGAGUGACCCAGGGGAUCCGGUGGAAGCAAGGUUGGUGUUGGCCAGAUAGGCACCAUGGUGCCUGCCGUCAUCAUGGAC